Hevea brasiliensis (rubber tree) is the source of this 1668-nucleotide RNA transcript. RefSeq lists it as uncharacterized. The transcript has 9 exons. Lineage: Eukaryota; Viridiplantae; Streptophyta; Magnoliopsida; Malpighiales; Euphorbiaceae. The record is from RefSeq and is a predicted model, not a curated record.
AACCAAACCCUACCCCCCACCAAAAUCUCCCAGUCCUCAAACCCUAGCUUAUACUCUAUCAAUUUCUAUCAUAGCCACUGCUUCUUCUCUUCAUAACCUCAUUUAUCUCAAAGCUUCCAUUGUCAGACAUGGACCUCCAGCGAGCUAUGCUAGACGAACUCAUGGGUUCUGAUCGUAAUUUGACGGAGGAAGAGAAGAAAGAGUACAAGGAAAUUACGUGGGAUUCUAAGGAGGUCUGUCCAUACUAUAUGGCUCGAUUUUGUCCACAUGACCUCUUUGUUAACACCAAAAGUGAUCUAGGGCCAUGUGAUAGGAUUCAUGAUCCAAAGUUGAAAGAAAGCUUUGAGAGUUCCCCAAGACACGACAGAUAUCUGCCCAAAUUUGAAGCUGAACUUGCUCAGCGUUGUGAGAAAUUGGUCAUGGAUUUGGAUAGAAGAGUUAGGCGUGGAAGAGAACGCCUUGCUCAAGGGGAGGAACCAAUACCACCUCCUCCACUGUCAGCUGGAAAGUCUGAACAGUUAUCUGUGGUGGAGGAGAAAAUAAAGAACCUGCUGGUGCAAGUGGAAUCCCUUGGUGAAGCUGGGAAGGUGGAUGAAGCUCAAGCACUUAUGAAAAAGGUGGAUGAACUCAAUUCUGAGAAGGCCUUGAUUCAAUCCCAGAGCGAUAAAUUAUUGAUGGUUCCGCAGGAGAAAAAGAUGGCCUUGUGUGAGAUUUGUGGUUCUUUUCUAGUAGCAAAUGAUGCUGCUGAGAGGACUCAGUCUCAUGUCUUAGGGAAGCAGCACAUAGGUUAUGGCAUGGUCCGAGAUUUCAUCACAGAGUACAAGGCAGCUAAGGAGAAGGCAAGGGAAGAGGAGAGACUAGCUAGGGAGAAGGAAGCUGAAGAACGAAGGAAGCAGAGGGAGAAGGAAUAUGAGAAGAGGAGGAGGAGUGAUUCUAAUGAUAGGGACCGUUAUCAUGAUAGAGAUCGAGACAGGGAGAGGGACCGCAAUCGCGAACGUGAACGGGAUCAUGAAAGGUCACGAGAGUGGAAUGGUAGAGGUAGUGGGGAUGGAGGAAAGGGGACAGAGUGGAGGUCCAGGAAUGGAAGAGAGAGCGGCAGGGAUAGGUACCGUGACCGGAGUAGGUCACGGUCCCCUGUUAGACAUGGUCACAGGAGAUCACCUAAAAGUCCAGCUCACCAAUAUUAAAUGGAUUGGUAGAUAGAUAUCAGAGCUUUUAAAUUACAUGAGCUUUGUUGAGACUAUACCUCCCUUUCAUCAAUAUUAAUAGAGGAGAAAAGGGUUGAGUUUGCAGGAAAGACAUGAAAUCUGGUGAACCCUGGUGGCAAUAUUUGCCGCAGUUAAGUGCAUCCCUAGGGAAUGAUUUGUUCAGGGGAAAAUAUUUUCUAAUUGAAAGAUAGAGAACUGAGAUGUAAUGCCUCAAAGAAACCAUUUGUAAGAGCAACUUGCGACUGGCAUUAAUUUUCCACUAGCGCCAGGACUAUACGUUUUUUGGCAGUUCUUUUAAUGGUGCAAUUUUCUCAAUUGAAGGUAAAACUACCAAAAAUGUCUUCGAUUGGUUUAUGGUUGUUACUAAUUUAACCAUGCUUGGCAUUUGUCAUUUUAUGUAAUGUGAUCAUGAGGGAAAUUUAUGAUCGUAUGCAUGUGGGCCUGUGAUUUCUGUAGUGAA